Molecule: non-coding RNA, 125 nt
Organism: Hordeum vulgare subsp. vulgare (domesticated barley)
Lineage: Eukaryota; Viridiplantae; Streptophyta; Magnoliopsida; Poales; Poaceae
Source: Rfam
AUCAUACUUCCUCCGUCCGAAAAUACUUGUCAUAAGAAUAGAUGUAUCUAGAGGUAUUUUAGUAUUAGAUACAUCCAUUCUUAUUCAUUUGUUCGACAAGUAAUACCGGACGGAGGGAGUAAUAA